RNAcentral lists this ribosomal RNA (1446 nucleotides) under uncultured bacterium. RNAcentral describes it as "bacterial SSU rRNA". It matches the Rfam family "Bacterial small subunit ribosomal RNA". The record is from RNAcentral.
GAGUUUGAUCCUGGCUCACAACGAACGCUGGCGGCAGGCUUAACAGAUGCAAGUCGAGCGCCCCGCAAGGGGAGCGGCAUACGGGUGAGUAACGCGUGGGAACAUACCCUUUGGUUCGGAAUAACUCAGGGAAACUUGAGCUAAUACCGGAUACGAUCCGUAAGGAGAAAGAUUUAUCGCCAAAGGAUUGGCCCGCGUCCGAUUAGCUAGUUGGUGAGGUAACGGCUCACCAAGGCUACUAUCGGUAGCUGGUCUGAGAGGAUGAUCAGCCACAUUGGGACUGAGACACGGCCCAAACUCCUACGGGAGGCAGCACUGGGGAAUAUUGGACAAUGGGCGCAAGCCUGAUCCAGCCAUGCCGCGUGAGUGAUGAAGGCCUUAAGGUUGUAAAGCUCUUUUGUCCGGGAAGAUAAUGACUGUACCGGAAGAAUAACCCCCGGCUAACUUCCUGCCACCAUCCGCGGUAAGACUAAGGGGGCUAGAGUUGUUCGGAAUCUCUGGCCGUAAAGUGCAAGUAUGCGGACCGUUAAGUCGGAUGUGAAAGCCUGGGGCUCAACCCCAGAACUGCCUUCCAUACGGGCGGUCUUGAGUAUGGUAGAUGUUGGUGGAACUCCGAGUGUAGAGGUGAAAUUCGUAGAUAUUCGGAAGAACACCAGUGGCGAAGGCGUGCAACUGGACCAUUACUGACUCUGAGGUGAGAAAGCGUGGGGAGCAAACAGGAUUAGAUACGCUGGUAGUCCACGCUGUAAACGAUGAGAGCUAGCCGUUGGGGUGCAUGCACAUCAGUGGAGCAGCUAACGCGUUAAGCUCUCCGCCUGGGGAGUACGGUCGCAAGAUUAAAACUCAAAGGAAUUGACGGGGGCCCGCACAAGCGGUGGAGCAUGUGGUUUAAUUCGAAGCAACGCGCAGAACCUUACCAGCCCUUGACAUGCCUCGGAAGUGGACGAGAGAUCGAUCACGCUGUUGGGAGCCGGGGACACAGGUGCUGCAUGGCUGUCGUCACCUCGUGUCGUGAGAUGUUGGGUUAAGUCCCGCAACGAGCGCAACCCUCGCCCUUAGUUGCCAUCAUUCAGUUGGGCACUCUAGGGGGACUGCCGGUGAUAAGCCGGAGGAAGGUGGGGAUGACGUCAAGUCCUCAUGGCCCUUACGGGCUGGGCUACACACGUGCUACAAUGGCGGUGACAGUGGGCAGCAAGGCAGCAAUGCCAAGCUAAUCUCAAAAAGCUGUGUCAGUUCGGAUUGAGGUGUGCAACUCGUCCUCACGAAGUUGGAAUCGGUAGUAAUCGCGGAUCAGAACGCCGCGGUGAAUACGUUCCCGGGCCUUGUACACACCGCCCGUCACACCAUGGGAGUUGGUCUUACCCGAAGGGGAUGCGCUAGCCGCAAGGGGGCAGUCGACCACGGUAGCGUCAGCGACUGGGGCGAAGUCGUACCAAGGUAACCGUA